RNAcentral lists this transfer RNA (57 nucleotides) under Flagrax sp. UPOL 000L26. RNAcentral's name for it is "tRNA-Glu". The record is from RNAcentral. Lineage: Eukaryota; Metazoa; Arthropoda; Insecta; Coleoptera; Lycidae.
GUUUCUAUUUAUAUAGUUUAACAUUUUCAUUGUAAAAUUAAAUUCCUUAUUUUAUAA